AACGCACAUUGCGCUCCCUGGUAUUCCGGGGAGCAUGCCUGUUCGAGCGUCAUUAACAACCCCUCACGCCCAGCGUGGUGUUGGGCUCGCCCUGUAGGGCCUGCCUCAAAGUCAGUGGCGGCACCGUCUGGCCCUAAGCGUAGUGAUACUCGUCGCUUCUGGGCCCUGGGCGGCAGCCUGCCAGCAACCCCCAUUUUCUAGGUUGACCUCGGAUCAGGUAGGGAUACCCGCUGAACUUAA
This 240-nucleotide unclassified non-coding RNA is filed under the name uncultured fungus. RNAcentral describes it as "partial contains 5.8S ribosomal RNA, internal transcribed spacer 2, and large subunit ribosomal RNA". The stretch from base 1 to 52 matches the Rfam family "5.8S ribosomal RNA", at positions 103 to 154 of the family's 154-position model. Lineage: Eukaryota; Fungi. The record is from RNAcentral.